CUGGCUGGUUCCAAAUAGGCAUGACACCUAAGGCCAGAGUUCCCAGAACAUUCCUCCUUGAAGGAAUGAGGAAGCAAGAAAAAGCACAUCUGGAGUCCACGGGCCAAGUCUGGCAGUGGUCAGUCCUGAGCCAACAUGGUCUGUGAGGGUUGGGCCCAGGUGGGAAAAUCCAGGGGCCCCCGAUGAUGAACAGGCAGCCACCAGGGGGCGCUGUGGGGGCUGGUGGCUCACCCGGGCACAGGGGCUGGGGGUGGGGGCAGGAUGCAGGGGGCUCUGUCUCCUCUCACCUCUUUCUUUCAAGGCCCUUCCUUUGCUUCUCACUGGCUCACUUGUUCAUACUUAAAAGGCAGUGGGACUGUGUCAAGAGCUGGUCCCUAGAGUCCAACCGCAGCCCUGCCCUCCUGGCCAUCUGAUCACAGCAAGUAACCUCACGCCCUCACUGUGCAGACGAGCUGGGACUUGGCACGUGCUGUGCGGUACACAGUUUCAGCACUGACAACCCAGCUCCCAGCUCUUGUCACUUCCCUUAGGAGACCAAGUCCACCCACCUGGGCUCCCGGGGCCCACUCCCACCCGCUGGCCCCAGUCAGGCCUCCUUGUCCCUGUGCUGUCCCCGCCUGCCGUGUGUCCCCAGGCUGGUCCUGGCAGCUGCAGGAUGAAGCAAGCUCUUACCCAUAAAUGUCCUCUGCGAGCCUCUGAAUCAUCGUUCUCGAAACUUUGCCUUGGAAUUUGUUCUGUUGCCCCCAGUUGAGUGUGUCAAACAGGGAGCCCCAAGGCUGGGGGUGGGGGGGUGGGGGCGGGGGCGGGGGGCGGCUGCAGAACGUCACUUCCCUGGGAACAGCUCCCGAGUUCAGCUGGCUCACACAUGGCUCAGAUGUGGGCUCCACAUCCUCUGCCAGGGAAAAUAGAAGACGUACAAAAAUUAAAAAAGAAAGAACGUUUUCCUCAGCCGCAGUCUCCACGGAGCUUUCAGCAAAGGUCCAGGCCUGAGCGUGGCCAGAGCCCCAGCAAGCAUGGAAGCAGCCUUCCUCUGAAGACAAUCAGACCAGAGGGAACAGGCAGUGGGCGACUGGACCCCUCAGCACAGAGGGCUCGGGGGGUGGGGGCACUGACCCCCGGGGAAGUGGAGUCCUGCCCAGUGGGAGAAAGGGAAGGGGGACCCCGGGUGGGAGUGGGGCUCUGCCCCAGGCACAGACUCCUCACAUGGCCCCUGGGCCGGAAGUGUGGGCAGUGAGCAGGGCAGUGACAGUGACCAACGCUUGUGGAGCACGUGCCCCCUCUUUCUCAUUUCCCCCAUGUUUCCCGAAACAGGCCCAAGGAGAAGUGAGGGGUCCAGGUCACAGCAUGUCAGGGGCUGCCUGUCUGUGAGGUCAGGCCGAAUGCUCUUUCCAUCCAGUCUACACAGCCUCUGGCGCCAGGCCUCGGGGCACCAGCUCCUCCUGCCGAGGCCCAAGCAUGCCCAGGAGCCGCCCCGAUGCCUCAGUCUGGGCAGAGGUGGAAACUCACCUGCCACCAGGACCAGUGUGUCCCAUUUUUAACUGGGGCAGCCACAGAGCCCUGGGACUGGGGACGGGACCGGCGGAGCCUGGGAGGCCGGGAAGAGACCCUCUGAGGCUGCCAGGGCCUCAGAGGCAGCAGCUCAGACGCGGCCCAGCUGUGGCCUAGAUGAGGGCGUCUGUGGGGGCGGGUUCAGGAAGGCUCAGGGAGGCAGCUCCGCACAGCAGGGCCCAGGCUCCGGCACCAGGCCCUCCCGGGCUCUUGGAGUCCUGAGUCUGCCUCCAGGGACCAAGGGGGAAGGACCCAGGUCCAUCCCAUCCCUCUGUACCUCCCUUUCAGGGGAGGUCCCCUAGAAACACCCCCUUGUGUGCAGUCUAGACCUCACUGGGGGACAAGGGUCACAGGAGGGUGGUUCCCCGAGUCAUGGGACCUGGGGUGUCCAGACAGCGUCUAGCCAUCCACGCGACUGGCAGAAUGAUUUUCUUGGUUUCUGCCAACUUCAAACUCAUAUGUGAUUUUCCACAGCCCCGUGCCCCUGCCCAGCUCCCUGGGCCUGGACUGCUGAGUGAGCAGAGUUCCCCUGAAUUCCUUCCACUCACCGCAGGACCCAGCCCCGGGGAGCCUGGGGGGUCACCGCAGCCGCAGGGGGGCUGAGGGGCUGAGGGGGCGGGAGGCGGGCUUCCAGCGCCUGAGUAAUUCUGCAGCCGCAGACGGUGCCGAGGGCAUGUGGCAGCAUC
This 2234-nucleotide long non-coding RNA is filed under the name Sus scrofa (pig). RNAcentral's name for it is "lncRNA (ENSSSCG00040011111.1)". The record is from RNAcentral. Lineage: Eukaryota; Metazoa; Chordata; Mammalia; Artiodactyla; Suidae.